UCGAGUUAGGGUCCUCUGGGCCCCAUCUCCAACCCUUGUCUAUCUCACCACGUUGCUUUGGCGGGCUCGUCUUUGACCGGACCGUCGGGGGUGUACCCCCUGAUCAGCGCCCGCCAGUAGCCCCUACAAAAUCAUUGAAUGGUGUCGUCUAAGUCAGGAAACAAAAUAACCAA
RNAcentral lists this unclassified non-coding RNA (173 nucleotides) under uncultured fungus. RNAcentral describes it as "sequence contains ITS1, 5.8S rRNA gene". Lineage: Eukaryota; Fungi. The record is from RNAcentral.